This 599-nucleotide unclassified non-coding RNA is filed under the name Panax ginseng (ginseng). RNAcentral's name for it is "external transcribed spacer". Lineage: Eukaryota; Viridiplantae; Streptophyta; Magnoliopsida; Apiales; Araliaceae. The record is from RNAcentral.
UAAUAGUUUGGAAAUUAUGUUUUCUUAUCUUCUUCUCAACAAUCUUUUCGCGCAUAGCGGUGCUUGUUGGUGUCAUCUUAUUGUCCUUUGGUUUGCAUGGCUUUUGCAAGUCGUGUGAGUUGGGGUGCAUUAGAUGGCGUUGGCAUAGUGUACGUAUGGCGCGUGAGUGGUGUUUGGUUUGUUUGGGUGGGUUGGAUCCCUGCUUGUGCAGCGACGACCGCUCUUUCAUUCCUUUUCAUUCUUGAUCCAAGAGCAGUAAGCCUUGGAACAUCUCGGUUGCCUGUGUUUUAUACCUAUGUUGAUGGAAUUCGUUUGUCCAAUUGCCCCUAAUUCAACUUGUGCUUCUCACGCGGUGCGAGAUGAACCAUGUAGUGUCCUUUGUUGUCCCUUCUUGCCUUGCGCUUGCGCGUCGCAUGAAAUGGCCAAUGUUGCGACACUCGAACUCUCGGAUACGGAACCUUAAGCGGGCAAAGGGUCUUUGGCCUCGAUUUGCCUAAACUAAGCGUUCUCGCUUCUUACGAACGACUGUCGUGCCCGUUUUGACCUGAGGAUACUUUUGGUCCGACUGGCUCAUGCGGUAUCGACGUCGAAGAGGAAUG